UCCAUAGCCAAGAAUUCCUUCCCAAUAUCUAACCCUGCCCUCGGUCAGUGGGAAGCCAUUCCCUGUGUCCUGUCCUUGCCCUUGUCCAAAGCCCCUCUCCACUAUCACACAAAGUUCAGUGCUCAUUUCCAGCUGAUGGCACCGUGUCCCCGCUGUCCUGGCAGCCAGCAAGGGGCUUUUCCCAAGGCUGCCAGCUUGGGAAAACCAGCUCUCGUUCUGAGCCAGUUACCUCAGCCAGCUGCAGCCGGGCCUGGCAGCACGGUGACACCUCGGUGAGAGCACGGGGACAGCACGGGGACAGCACGGGGACAGCACGGUGCCACCUCGGUGCCACCGCCACCUCCGUGGGGAGCCAUGGAUGGGCCCACGCCGAGGACAGGGAUGGAGCUGCCCUCCCUCUCCCACUCCCAGGGAUCCUGGAGACGGUUGGAUUUUAUCAGCUGAUCCAUGGGCUCAGGCACUGGACAUCAAUGAACUCCUUUCUGAUGGUUCCUCUCCGUGCUGCUCCUCCAGCCAGACUGUGAUAAGUUCAAUAUUUACACUUUUUUAUUUUGAAAUGUUCAUGUUCUAUAUAUAAAAUAUUUACAUAAUGUAUCUUCAGGUUUACCAAUAAUUAAAAUUAUCAGUAACCCUGGUAAGGAAAUGCACCAAACUUGCUGGUCCCUGGCAGGAGCCUGGCAAGAGCACUGAGAAAAUCUGGGAGCCCCUUUGGGAUAACCAGUAAUGUACAGCCAAAGAGUCUUUUAGUCUGUAAAACCCCAGAAUUUGUGUCUGACACAGCACAGCGCCGUGUGCCCAGAGCUCGACAUGAGCUCAUGCUGCAGAGGGGAUGCAGCCAGGGACAAACCAGCCCACUGGGGACCAUCCCAGGGGCAAACACGAACUCAAAAGCUCAAAUCUUAAAUGUCAAAACUGUAAAAAUGGCCUCUUUUCCAAACCAGUCUGAAAGGCCAUCAUUUUACUGGGAUAAUGUGAACACAGCAGAAACCACGAAUUGCAAUCACAUGCUGGGCUUCCUCCAAAUUUCUUGGAAGCUGAGGGUAGAGCCCAAGAAAGCAAAUAGCAGCAAAACAAGGUGGCAGGUGAGGGAGAGCUACAGCCCGUGUCCCAGCCCAUGCCCAGGGCUGUGGAGCACAGGAGGGUGCAGAGGGAAGUGGCAGAAAUCCUGCAAGGAAUCGCCUUGUGGGCCGCAGAUGCUUCUGCUAUCAAUGCUUCUGUAAAUGGGAUAGGACAAGGGGGAUUUCGGGUGGAAUGUGACCACACUGAGGACUUGCUGCACUUACCAUGGGGCCAGAGCCCAUGAGCCACUGAGCAGUUAUUUAUCUCAGUGUCUGAUGGCUCUCCUUAAAGCAUCUUUCCAUAAUUGUUGCACAGAUAAACGCGGUUAUCGUAAAUCCCGUUCUUGUCUUGCCCCUGACCCCCAUCUGCAGUCAUCCAGCCUGGGAAUUACCGAAGGGAAAUUUAUGUAAGCUUUGUUUUAAUUGCAAACAAUUCAAAGAAAUCAUUCCCUGCUGGGAACUCGGCCUUUUCUGCUGCAGUUAAAUGAGAUUUUAUUACAGCACGACUCGCUCUGUGGCUCGGGGGGAAGGCUGAGCUGUGCUGUUCAGGGACUGAGGGGUUGGAAACGUCGAAAACUCCAACGGCCACAUGGCAGGGAAGGAGCUUCAUGGCAGCAUCUUCUGUUCCAGAGCUGAGACUUUCUGAACCCAAGUGCAGCAUCUUCACAGCCAGAGAGAGGCUCCUUCAGCACUGCUGAUUUACCAAGUCCUUGACCCUUUUUCCUGGGUUAAAUUCUGUCUCUGCACAGGGCUGGGCUGGGUUCCCACCACCGGUCCCCUGCCUGGGACUCCUGUCCCAGCCCCCACCUGGGGAGCCCCAAGGUUUUUCAGUACACUUCCCUCUAUCACUCAUGUUUGGCAGCUGGCACCACCUUGGGAGGGAGCUUUUAUCACAUUUGGGUGAGUAUCAGACACUUGGGAACCACUGCAGUGACAAAACACAUUCAAGAUCAUGGAAUCAAAGAGGGAUUUGGGUUGGAAGGGACCCAGCGACCCUUAAACUCAUCCAGUCCUUCCCCUACCAUGUCGGACCCAACCCUCUCCAGGACCACAGUAAAAACUCCACAAAAGCAUUUUGGAGCCAUUUAAUGAAAAAAGCAGAAUUUUAUUAUAUGGUUUCUGUCCAUUAUUCGGCAUUGCUGUAAAUGGCUCACAUUUACUGCAACUUCUGUACAGAUGUGUGGCUUUGUAUUACCAGAACAGCAAAUUUAAAUGAAAAAAUAAAUGUUCAACAAUUCCACACAAGCUUUUACAGUCCAACAUUUCACUGAGGUGAAAACUACAGACUUGUUACUACAGAAUUAUUCAGCAUGAAUAAAAAACUACAACUUUUAUUUUUAAA
Molecule: long non-coding RNA, 2400 nt
Organism: Corvus hawaiiensis (hawaiian crow)
Lineage: Eukaryota; Metazoa; Chordata; Aves; Passeriformes; Corvidae
Exons: 2
Source: RefSeq, a predicted model, not a curated record